CAAUAGCGUAUAUUAAAGUUGUUGCGGUUAAAAAGCUCGUAGUUGGAUUUCUGCUGAGAACGACCGGUCCGCCCUCUGGGUGUGUAUCUGGCUCUUUCUUGGCAUCUUCUUGGUGAACGUUGCUGCACUUGACUGUGUGGAGCGCUACCCAGGACUUUUACUUUGAGGAAAUUAGAGUGUUUCAAGCAGGCAUACGCCUUGAAUACAUUAGCAUGGAAUAAUAAGAUAGGACCUCGGUUCUAUUUUGUUGGUUUCUAGAGCUGAGGUAAUGAUUAAUAGGGAUAGUUGGGGGCAUUCGUAUUUAACUGACAGAGGUGAAAUUCUUGGAUUUGUUAAAGACGGACUACUGCGAAAGCAUUUGCCAAGGAUGUUUUCAUUGA
This 380-nucleotide ribosomal RNA is filed under the name uncultured eukaryote. RNAcentral describes it as "partial 18S ribosomal RNA". It matches the Rfam family "Eukaryotic small subunit ribosomal RNA", at positions 592 to 976 of the family's 1831-position model. The record is from RNAcentral.